Molecule: ribosomal RNA, 494 nt
Filed under: uncultured bacterium
Lineage: Bacteria
Description: bacterial SSU rRNA
Rfam family: Bacterial small subunit ribosomal RNA
Source: RNAcentral
GCUAGGAUGAACGCUAGCGGGAGGCCUAACACAUGCAAGUCGAACGGGAUUGGUAGCAAUACCAUGAGAGUGGCGCACGGGUGAGUAACGCGUAUGCAACCUACCUGUAACAGAGGGAUAGCCCAUAGAAAUGUGGAUUAAUACCUCAUAGUCCUGAGAAGUCGCAUGGCUUUUCAGGUAAAACUCCGGUGGUUACAGAUGGGCAUGCGUGACAUUAGCUAGUUGGUAAGGUAACGGCUUACCAAGGCAACGAUGUCUAGGGGUUCUGAGAGGAUGAUCCCCCACACUGGUACUGAGACACGGACCAGACUCCUACGGGAGGCAGCAGUGAGGAAUAUUGGUCAAUGGGCGCAAGCCUGAACCAGCCAUCCCGCGUGCAGGAUGACGGCCCUAUGGGUUGUAAACUGCUUUUGUACAGGAAGAAAAAUCCCUACGUGUAGGGACCUGCCGGUACUGUACGAAUAAGCAUCGGCUAACUCCGUGCCAGCCGCCGC